RNAcentral lists this transfer RNA (357 nucleotides) under Microcystis sp. BG66. RNAcentral's name for it is "16S-23S ribosomal RNA intergenic spacer". The stretch from base 133 to 206 matches the Rfam family "tRNA". Lineage: Bacteria; Bacillati; Cyanobacteriota; Cyanophyceae; Chroococcales; Microcystaceae. The record is from RNAcentral.
AAGGGAGACCUAAUUCAGGUAUAAGACGAAAAAAAAGUAGUCCCUACCAAGAAUCAAUCCCAAAAGGUCGGAACGAGGUAUGAGGCUUUCAAACUAGGUUCUGGGUUCAUAAAAGACCUGAAUCAGGAACAAGGGCUAUUAGCUCAGGUGGUUAGAGCGCACCCCUGAUAAGGGUGAGGUCCCUGGUUCGAGUCCAGGAUGGCCCACCUGCACAGGUGGCAAAAACAAGAGAAGCGAGGAAUCAGCACCUUAUCUUACUUACAUAGUAAGAGAGAAUGCUGGCUCUGAGUAAAGAGUCCAGAGGAACCUUGAAAACUGCAUAGAGCUAGGUGAAAAAGCCAAAAAAGAAGACCGCAA